AGGCUUGCACAGGUGCUGCAUGGCUGUCGUCAGCUCGUGUCGUGAGAUGUCGGUUAAGUCCGCUAACGAGCGCAACCCUCACUGUGUGUUAUAUGUGUCACACGGGACCGCCGGUCUUAAGCCGGAGGAAGGUGGGGAUGACGUCAAGUCAGCAUGGCCUUUAUAUCCUGGGCUACACACACGCUACAAUGGCCAACACAAUAGGUUGCUAAGCCGCGAGGUGGAGCCAAUCCAUAAAGUUGGUCUCAGUUCAGAUUGUAGGCUGCAACCCGCCUGCAUGAAGAUGGAGUUGCUAGUAACCGCAGGUCAGCUAUACUGCGGUGAAUACGUUCCCGGGGCUU
Molecule: ribosomal RNA, 341 nt
Filed under: uncultured Leptolinea sp.
Lineage: Bacteria; Bacillati; Chloroflexota; Anaerolineae; Anaerolineales; Anaerolineaceae
Description: bacterial SSU rRNA
Rfam family: Bacterial small subunit ribosomal RNA
Source: RNAcentral